Molecule: long non-coding RNA, 572 nt
Organism: Ruditapes philippinarum (Manila clam)
Lineage: Eukaryota; Metazoa; Mollusca; Bivalvia; Venerida; Veneridae
Exons: 3
Source: RefSeq, a predicted model, not a curated record
UAUAUAUCUGGUGACCUUUACCAAUAUUCUAUAGCUUCAAUAUAUAAACACUAUUGUCAAUAUUGAUCUUUUAGUGUGCACCCAAGAUUUUGCUUAUAAAUACUACAUUAGUGUAUAUAUAAACGUGAUGUUUGGUGUUAAUACUUUGGAGUUAACAUGUUUUAAUAAAUAACGAGAAGUAUUUAGAUGGUUGGCUGGGACACAUCGGCAGAUAAGUUGUGAGGGCGUACCAGAUUGUACUGAUGGCCUGUUUAAGAAGGCGGAUCGAGUCUGGUCCGGAUAAUACCCUUUUAACAUUUAUUGCAAACAUAGGAAUAAUCGUAUUAUGUCUAAUCAACAUUGUCUUCCUGUUGCUAGGUGUAGGUGCUAUCGUUGUUGCAGUUCGGUUGGAUAAAGAAAUUGACAAGCACGACGACAUCAUGGCCUUGUUUAACCUUGUACAGCUAGGCACAUUUACUCUAAAAGAACUUAUUAAUGCAAUCAUAGUGGCCGUGAUAAUGUGCGGCGUGUUUGCGAUCGUGACGUCAAUGAUUGGCGGAUUUGGAGCGUUCUGUACCUCGAGAUUAUUACUC